CUCACACCCUGACCAUACUAAAACAAAGACAAAACAAAGGAACUAAGGUCAGAACGUGACACCUAUCUUCUGAUUCUGGCAAGCAUACAAGGUUAAAAAGCGACACCCAAUCAGAAUUCAGAUCCUAUCUGUCCUGAGUAGAAUAAUGUUUGCCUAGCAACACUCUCUCAUUGGCUAGAAAUGACUAGUUUCUGGGAAAAUGAAACUUAACAGAAUGUAACGUGAGACACGUUGGGUGCUUUAGUUUCGCAUGAGAUUUAGACCAUUCCAUUGGUCCUUAAGGUCCUGGCUAUGCAAAACCAGCCGGCCCACUGCUUCAGCUCUCUCUGUGACAACAGCAGACAACAAUAUAUAGAUCUGUGCAACACUAAAAUUUUUGAUUGGCUGCAGUUUUAGUAAUGGAACGAGGAAGAGGAAGGAUUCUGUUCCUGUUGACACUCUGUCUGCAAGACUUCACUGGUGAAUGCCAAGGUACACACACACACACACACACACACACAC
Long non-coding RNA from Oncorhynchus tshawytscha (Chinook salmon), 501 nucleotides. RefSeq lists it as uncharacterized. The transcript is spliced from 2 exons. The record is from RefSeq and is a predicted model, not a curated record. Lineage: Eukaryota; Metazoa; Chordata; Actinopteri; Salmoniformes; Salmonidae.